Molecule: ribosomal RNA, 442 nt
Filed under: uncultured bacterium
Lineage: Bacteria
Description: partial 16S ribosomal RNA
Rfam family: Bacterial small subunit ribosomal RNA
Source: RNAcentral
CCUACGGGAGGCAGCAGUGGGGAAUAUUGGGCAAUGGACGCAAGUCUGACCCAGCAACGCCGCGUGAAGGAAGAAGGCUUUCGGGUUGUAAACUUCUUUUAAGGGGGAAGAGCAGAAGACGGUACCCCUUGAAUAAGCCACGGCUAACUACGUGCCAGCAGCCGCGGUAAUACGUAGGUGGCAAGCGUUGUCCGGAUUUACUGGGUGGAAAGGGCGUGCAGCCGGAGAGACAAGUCAGAUGUGAAAUCCACGGGCUCAACCCGUGAACUGCAUUUGAAACUGUUUCCCUUGAGUGUCGGAGAGGUAAUCGGAAUUCCUUGUGUAGCGGUGAAAUGCGUAGAUAUAAGGAAGAACACCAGAGGCGAAGGCGGAUUACUGGACGAUAACUGACGGUGAGGCGCGAAAGCGUGGGGAGCAAACAGGAUUAGAUACCCCAGUAGUC